UCAGAACGAACGCUGGCGGCAGGCUUAACACAUGCAAGUCGAGCGCACUCUUUUAGAGUGAGCGGCAAACGGGUGAGUAACGCGUGGGAAUCUACCCAUUUCUACGGAAUAACACAGAGAAAUUUGUGCUAAUACCGUAUGUGUCCUAUUAGGAGAAAGAUUUAUCGGAAAUGGAUGAGCCCGCGUUGGAUUAGCUAGUUGGUAGGGUAAAGGCUUACCAAGGCGACGAUCCAUAGCUGGUCUGAGAGGAUGAUCAGCCACACUGGGACUGAGACACGGCCCAGACUCCUACGGGAGGCAGCAGUGGGGAAUAUUGGACAAUGGGGGCAACCCUGAUCCAGCCAUGCCGCGUGAGUGAUGAAGGCCCUAGGGUUGUAAAGCUCUUUCACCGGUGAAGAUAAUGACGA
RNAcentral lists this ribosomal RNA (407 nucleotides) under Bartonella coopersplainsensis. RNAcentral's name for it is "bacterial SSU rRNA". It matches the Rfam family "Bacterial small subunit ribosomal RNA", at positions 24 to 457 of the family's 1533-position model. The record is from RNAcentral. Lineage: Bacteria; Pseudomonadati; Pseudomonadota; Alphaproteobacteria; Hyphomicrobiales; Bartonellaceae.